RNAcentral lists this ribosomal RNA (45 nucleotides) under Veronica stewartii. Its description in RNAcentral is "partial 26S ribosomal RNA". Lineage: Eukaryota; Viridiplantae; Streptophyta; Magnoliopsida; Lamiales; Plantaginaceae. The record is from RNAcentral.
GACCGCGACCCCAGGUCAGGCGGGACUACCCGCUGAGUUUAAGCU